CUCUUUUAACCAUGCAGCCCUCAUUCAAUUUCUUAAAAUCAUGAAAUAUAUUGCAUUUCUGCAGUAUUUUAAUAAAAUAUAGUACAACGGUAACUCUGAAUAUGGACAUUUUGUAAUGGUAACCAGACUUAUUGCAUAUAUUUAGAACAAGUGCCCCCUCAAUGAUGCUUAGGAAACAAUACACAGGAGGCUUGAUAGUUGAUAUAGAAAUUAAAGUAGUUAUUUGAUUGAAACUGGUAGCUAUUUCAAUUCUACUGUCAGUAUCUCCUUUUAUAUAUAAUUGGAUUAAUUGCCAAUAUAUUCACAUAGUAUAAUAGUUUGGAAAUGGAAUCAAUACUUGUAUAUUUUUAGCAAAUGAGCAUUGUUAUUGAUCAACAAUGACUCUUAUUGCUAUAAACAACAUUGUUUCACAUAGCACAUACAGUAGCAACAGACAAGGAAACAUCUGUAUUUAAAUUCACUACUUAUUUUUAUCCAGACACAAAUUGAUGUAAAAAUUGUUUCAGGUUUGGCUUAGUUAUAGCCUUACAUCAGGCUAUUCCAUUUAAUAUCCAUACCCCCCCUGUCGAGGAUCCCUGAAAUUCUUCAGGGGUAAAGGGUUUUGAGCUUGGAAUUCUUCAGGGGUAAAGUGUUUUGAGCUUGGAAUUCUUCAGGGGUAAAGUGUUUCGAGUUUGGAAUUCUUCUGGGGUAAAGGGUUUUGAGCUUGGAAUUCUUCAGGGGUAAAGGGAUUUGAGCUUGGAAUUCUUCAGGGAUAAAGGGUUUUGAGCUUGGAAUUUUGGAAUUCUUUGAACAGGGGUAAAAGGUUUUGAGCUUGGAAUUCUUCAGGGGUAAAGGGUUUUGAGCUUGGAAUUUUGGAAUUCUUCAGGGGUAUAACCAUGAAAAACAUGUAUUCUCGACAGGGGGUGUACGGAUAUUAAAUGGAAUAGCCCAUCAUGCUGUCAAGUGGCAAUCACUUACAAAGCAAAUCUAUAACCAAAUG
Non-coding RNA from Paramuricea clavata, 979 nucleotides. The record is from the annotation of a GenBank genome assembly. NCBI's taxonomy places the organism in Eukaryota, Metazoa, Cnidaria, Anthozoa, Malacalcyonacea, Plexauridae.